This is a long non-coding RNA of Vespula vulgaris, 3494 nucleotides long. RefSeq lists it as uncharacterized. The transcript has 6 exons. The record is from RefSeq and is a predicted model, not a curated record. NCBI's taxonomy places the organism in Eukaryota, Metazoa, Arthropoda, Insecta, Hymenoptera, Vespidae.
AAAAAUAUUAAUGGCCGGUUAUCAAGAUUCUUUAUUCAAUUUUCAAUUAUAAAUUGUAAAGAAAAAGAGGAUGAAAAAAAAGAAAACAAUAGAAAUUAAAAAAGGAAAAUAACUUGUCCAGUUAAUAGAGAACAAUUGAAAAAUUCAUUUCCUUUCGAUACUCGUCAUCCUCAUCUCAUUUCGGUUCUUUAUAUCGUGUAAUACGUGGUCUCGAUUAACCUGCGUCGAAUGUACUAACCCAUCCUACCGUGUUCCGACUCGGUAAUUAGCUUGGUCCAACGAUGUGACGGUUCGGGGAAGAAUCUUGCCUGUAGGAGUCGUUCUUUUAAUAAUUAAAAUGAAAGUAAUACAGAUAUAGGAAACUAAAUGAAGACGAAAGCAGUUCCAAUAGCUCAGAAGUAUUGCAAAGGAGCCGAAUUGACCGAUAUCUGAAUUCUAAUUACCAAAGAAGAUAAAAGGAUUUCAACUAUGCUCAACGCGAUUAUUAAACAUUUGACAUCCGAAAUGAAAUACACUUACAUUGGUACUUUCUGUUCUUCCUUACAUCCGAGGAUAAGUCAUACUUGGAUAGUACAAAUGUCCGACCUUCAACCAGAUUAGGAAAUGAAAACGUUUAUCUCUUUUCUAGUCCUAUAUUUAAAUGGGAAAUCGAUACAUGCUGUGAAUGAUUUUAUGAUGGCGGCGGGAGUAUUUCUACUGAUAAGUGGAACAUUAGGUCUCUUAACUCAAACUAUGCUAAAGAUAUUCUUAGUGCAUAUAAAUCAAGAACCUAUAUAUUUUUCUACUAGUCUAAUGAAGAAUAUUAGAUAUGAAAAGCAAGACGCUCGAUGAAAGAGAUGAAUAAUAACAUAUGAAUAAAAAUUUCAAUAUUGUUUGAAAGGAUUUUGCGUCACGUAUCGUUCGUCAUUUAAUGUAUCAGAUCGUCAAAUCGGCGGAGGAAGCUGAUGCUGCUCACGAAUUUAUUACAAAUCUUCCUAGUGAUAUGAAACCCAAGUUGGUGAGAGAGACACUUAAUUAUGCAGUGUAUGGAAACAACUUGUUGCUAUUGCUAGGGUGUUUCUAUAGCAACCAUUUACUUUAAUAUUGGAUUUUAAUAAACGAGCACAUUGGAUUGUGAAAACAGAAGAAGUUUCAAGAAGCAGUUGUAAAAUCUAACCAAAGAGUAAACAUUGUUAGUACAUUGCUCGUAGAUUAAAUGCCCUUAAAUCUUCUGGUGUUGAUGUACUGCAACGCGAUGUUGCUAUAGAGGUUUUUGUUGCAGUUCAUCGGCCGUGAUGACACUCUGAAUUAUAGCUCGAAUAUAAAAAAAGAAAAGAAAGAAAAAUACCAUAUGUCUUAUGCGCGGACAGCGAAUUACAUAGUAUCGAUCGGCAGAAUUGUAUUAUUUAAGAUCAUCACUGAUUCUUAAAUCAUUUUUAGUAUUUCUUGAAGGAAGAAGAAAAAGAAGGUGAAACAUCCCUGCUUGACGACGAAGUUUGGAAAGACCAAUGUGGCGCAGUUUUGUAAAGCAUGGAACGGUGGUACGAGGAAAUGGGAUUUUAUCAAAGGAUCCAAACGUAAGCAGCUUUAGCUGGAGGAUAUAUGCGAUUGUGCUCAAAAAUGUUUGUCGAAGGCUCAUCCGACGUUCCACGCAGGGCAUGAGUCAAAGGGGGAUUAAAAUGAAACUAAGGGAGAUUUAUCGUAUAAAUCAAUUUCACAUACAGAUAUGAUCAAGAGAUUAACCGUUUUUGGAAGUAGUAACAUUAGCAGAGGAAUACUUUUAAAUUAUACGUGAAAUAGAAAGUCGAUGUUUACGUCAUUGUUAUUGCAUCAAUUUAAAUUAAGUAACCAUCCCAUAUAAUUAAAAAAGAAGGAGUGUUGAAUUCUACAUUUCAAAUUGUUUGUCAAAAUAUUUACGACACGCAUUUAAAAAAUAUUCGUAAUAUUUAAUGUGCAUUUUUCAUAAAUAUUGAAAUUUGGAUGAAGUAACUGCUGCGUAGCGCGAGUUACCCUGUUGAAACAUUUUGAUAGGGAUUUUGUGAUAAUGGAUGUAUGUAGCACGUGCUCCCGCACUUAUCGUGAAGUACCUUCUUUUGUACCCUUCGUUAUUAUAUCUCUCCAUCUGCGUAUGCUCUGAUGCGUACUUCUCUGUUCCAGUUCAAGUGGUCAAGAUUGAAUGCUCGGUCCUGUGUGCGUGUGUACGUACGAAUCCUGUCCUAUUUGUAUAAGAAGGAAAGUAUUCUUUCAUUUGUUUUCCUCUCAUCAUUGAUGAGACCACUGAAGAAUACGAUUAGCUGUAUAAUUCAAUUGCCUAUUUAUAUUCAUCUUUCGAUAACAGGGUUACAUAACUUGCUGAGCAAUGGACUAUUUUCUUAGGAAUCAAUUGUUUUAAAACAUAAUAUACGAAAUAUUAGGUAACUGGAGGCAUAAUGGGAUUAUUGUUUUGCAUUCUCCAAUGGGGAGUACAUUUCUGGGAAAAUGUAUUCGUUCAUAUGGAAGAGUUAAGUCAGGCGUGGUAUAUCGAUCUGCAAAAGACAACCAGAUAAUUAAAUAAUACAGCCAAAUAGAUAAUUGAAUAAUACCGCUAAUCGUAUUAUCGAAUUGUCUGCUUGGUCUAAUGAGACGAAAACCAAUGAAUAAAUACCCUCCUCGUUUUCUGAAUAAGAGAGGAGAUUUACGGGGUUUUAGCAGGUGCAUUGAUUGCCGCUCAUUUGAUUGACGCACAUAAGCGCGCACGUACAUGGAGAGAGAUUAUAAUAAAUCGUUCUAUAUGAUGGUAUUUCACGAUAGGUACGAGAGAAGGUAUUACGUACGUGCAGAUCGUUAUAUUCCGAUUAAUACCCGUUAGCAGAGGAAUUUGUUGACACGGAGGAUCAUAUAUUUUUGCAAAAAAAUCAAAAUUUUGUCCUUUAUAAGUUCCUACGAUGUCUGUGAUAAAUGUUGAAGCAAUUUUCUUCCCAUAUUAUCACCCCUCUCAUUAUGUAUAGGAUCUCUUUUUUUUUCUUAUUGAAUGACAUCACUAUCACUGCUGUCGUUUUCUACCCGAUUAAUAUUUAUUUUUUCUAACGCAUCCGUAUAAAUGUUUAUCUGGAAUUUCCCUUCGGUAUUACUUAUGACUCAAAACUCACUCGUGUUUGGAUAUUUUGCCAUUCUCUUAAUGAAAAAGAAAUAAGUAAUUAAAAGCGUUGGUAGUCUCAAAUUGUAUAUUACAAAAUCACGAAACGAUAUAUACAAAAAGAAUAUUAUAUUUCUGGUUUCUGGCUUAUUAGUCUAGGGAACUAUCUAUUUCACUAGAAGUUUCAAUACGAAGCGAGUUCAGCUUCCAAAAUCUCCUCAAUUUUAUGAUUGCUUGUUUAUUCCAUCAAAUAUCACUACCUCGUACGGGGUGUACUCGCAUACCAUUGCGGAAAAUUCGUUAUCACUCUCUUUAAGUGGUUUAAUAAAGCCCCCAGACCAUUGUGAAUGUACUUCUUUUUCGUAAAACCGACUAAUAUACUUUUCAUAUAACUUGGUAA